Molecule: non-coding RNA, 540 nt
Organism: Vicugna pacos (alpaca)
Lineage: Eukaryota; Metazoa; Chordata; Mammalia; Artiodactyla; Camelidae
Source: the annotation of a RefSeq genome assembly
GAACAGAAUCGGGGCACCUCCACCAUGGCCUGGAUGCCCCUCCUCCUCAGCCUCUUGGCUCACUGGACAGGCUCUGUGGCCUCCUACGAACUGACUCAGUCACCCUCAGUGUCGGUGGCACUGAGACAGGCGGCCAAGAUCACCUGUGGCGGGGACAACAUUGCAAGUAAAUAUGCUCACUGGUACCAGCAGAAGCCAGGCCAGUCCCCUGUGCUGGUCAUCUACAAAGAUAGCAACCGGCCCUCAGGGAUCCCUGAGCGGUUCUCAGGCUCCAACUCCGGGAACACGGCCACCCUGACCGUCAGCGGGGCCCAGGCCGAGGACGAGGCCGACUACUACUGUCAGGUGUGGGACAGCAGUGCUAAUGCUCACAGUGACAGAGGCAGAUGGGGAAGUGGGACACAAACCUCCCAGCCUGGACUGGUGCUCACCCCAGUCUCCUUUGAGCAGUGGGAAGUCAGGCUGAGGCCCGGAACUUCUCCUGGACACACGGUCCUCCUGUUGGACCCCAGGACCAGAGCCCCCAAAACUACCGUCUGA